AGCAGUCGCCACGGUAAAACGUAGGUCCCGAGCGUUGUCCGGAUUUAUUGGGCGUAAAGCGAGCGCAGGCGGUUAGAUAAGUCUGAAGUUAAAGGCUGUGGCUUAACCAUAGUACGCUUUGGAAACUGUUUAACUUGAGUGCAAGAGGGGAGAGUGGAAUUCCAUGUGUAGCGGUGAAAUGCGUAGAUAUAUGGAGGAACACCGGUGGCGAAAGCGGCUCUCUGGCUUGUAACUGACGCUGAGGCUCGAAAGCGUGAGGAGCAAACAGGAUUAGAUACCCGUGUAGUCCCUGUCUCUUAUACA
This 303-nucleotide ribosomal RNA is filed under the name uncultured bacterium. RNAcentral's name for it is "partial 16S ribosomal RNA". It matches the Rfam family "Bacterial small subunit ribosomal RNA", at positions 507 to 808 of the family's 1533-position model. The record is from RNAcentral.